RNAcentral lists this ribosomal RNA (506 nucleotides) under uncultured bacterium. RNAcentral describes it as "partial 16S ribosomal RNA". It matches the Rfam family "Bacterial small subunit ribosomal RNA", at positions 29 to 523 of the family's 1533-position model. The record is from RNAcentral.
AGUGAACGCUGGCGGUAGGCCUAACACAUGCAAGUCGAACGGCAGCACAGGAGAGCUUGCUCUCUGGGUGGCGAGUGGCGGACGGGUGAGGAAUACAUCGGAAUCUACUUUUUCGUGGGGGAUAACGUAGGGAAACUUACGCUAAUACCGCAUACGACCUACGGGUGAAAGCAGGGGACCUUCGGGCCUUGCGCGAUUGAAUGAGCCGAUGUCGGAUUAGCUAGUUGGCGGGGUAAAGGCCCACCACGGCGACGAUCCGUAGCUGGUCUGCGAUGAGGAUCAGCCGCACUGGAACUGAGACACGGUCCAGACUCCUACGGGAGGCAGCAGUGGGGAAUAUUGGACAAUGGGCGCAAGCCUGAUCCAGCCAUACCGCGUGGGUGAAGAAGGCCUUCGGGUUGUAAAGCCCUUUUGUUGGGAAAGAAAUCCAGCUGGCUAAUACCCGGUUGGGAUGACGGUACCCAAAGAAUAAGCACCGGCUAACUUCGUGCCAGCCGCCGCCGUAA